RNAcentral lists this ribosomal RNA (447 nucleotides) under uncultured bacterium. RNAcentral's name for it is "partial 16S ribosomal RNA". It matches the Rfam family "Bacterial small subunit ribosomal RNA", at positions 30 to 523 of the family's 1533-position model. The record is from RNAcentral.
AGCGAACGCUGGCGGCAGGCCUAACACAUGCAAGUCGAGCGCCCCGCAAGGGGAGCGGCAGACGGGAGAGUAACACGUGGGAACGUGCCCUUUGGUUCGGAACAACCCAGGGAAACUUGGGCUACUACCGGAUAAGCCCUCACGGGGAAAGAUUUAUCGCCGAAGGAGCGGCCCGCGUCUGAUUAGCUAGUUGGUGGGGUAAUGGGCCACCAAGGCGACGAUCAGUAGCUGGUCUGAGAGGAGGAUCAGCCUCACUGGGACUGAGACACGGGCCAGACUCCGACGGGAGGCAGCAGUGGGGAAUAUUGGACGAUGGGCGCGAGCUUGAUCCAGCCAUGCCGCGUGGGUGAUGAAGGCCCUAGGGUUGUAAAGCCCUUUCGGCGGGGAAGAUAAUGACGGUACCCGCAGAAGGAGCCCCGGCUAACUUCGUGCCAGCCGCCGCAGUAA